RNAcentral lists this unclassified non-coding RNA (314 nucleotides) under Bombus terrestris (buff-tailed bumblebee). RNAcentral's name for it is "misc RNA ENSBTSG00005035727.1". The record is from RNAcentral. Lineage: Eukaryota; Metazoa; Arthropoda; Insecta; Hymenoptera; Apidae.
CUCUGCCGUAGAGAGAAACAGCCCCUCACAAAAUUCAGCCGUACCUAGGAGGAGAACUAAAAUCAAAUCUGUUUAAACUUCUUAAUGAUAAAAUUGAAGAAGUAACGACAUAUUUCGUAGAAAAUAAUAUACCUGGAAGUAACAAUAUUACGAAUUGAUGGCAAAAAUAUUGUAAGAGAUUUCUUAUAUUAUCGAACAUAACACAACAAAACAUGGCUAAACCCACCACCCAACAAUUACCGAUUGACUGUUCUCCGUGACUUGUAAUUAUCGACCGAGCUAUAUAUAAAGAUUUUGUGCUGGUUUAUUAUUUA